Molecule: ribosomal RNA, 230 nt
Filed under: uncultured bacterium
Lineage: Bacteria
Description: partial 16S ribosomal RNA
Rfam family: Bacterial small subunit ribosomal RNA
Source: RNAcentral
AAAGGGCGCGUAGGCGGCCAUUCAAGUCGGGGGUGAAAGCCUGUGGCUCAACCACAGAAUUGCCUUCGAUACUGUUUGGCUUGAGUAUGGCAGAGGUCAGUGGAACUGCGAGUGUAGAGGUGAAAUUCGUAGAUAUUCGCAAGAACACCAGUGGCGAAGGCGGCUGACUGGGCCAUUACUGACGCUGAGGCGCGAAAGCGUGGGGAGCAAACAGGAUUAGAUACCCCUGU